GCCUUCGUGGUGUAAUGGUCAACACACUUGGCGCGUAUUCGAGAGGCCCAUGGUUCGAUUCCCGGCUAGGGCA
This 73-nucleotide transfer RNA is filed under the name Stegodyphus mimosarum. It matches the Rfam family "tRNA". Rfam says of the family: Transfer RNA (tRNA) molecules are approximately 80 nucleotides in length. Their secondary structure includes four short double-helical elements and three loops (D, anti-codon, and T loops). The record is from Rfam by way of RNAcentral. Lineage: Eukaryota; Metazoa; Arthropoda; Arachnida; Araneae; Eresidae.